This 21-nucleotide small RNA is filed under the name Arabidopsis thaliana (thale cress). Its description in RNAcentral is "ATSL244290". Lineage: Eukaryota; Viridiplantae; Streptophyta; Magnoliopsida; Brassicales; Brassicaceae. The record is from RNAcentral.
GGAUUCCUAGUCCGUCCCCCG